RNAcentral lists this unclassified non-coding RNA (297 nucleotides) under rhizosphere metagenome. Its description in RNAcentral is "partial ribosomal RNA internal transcribed spacer region". The record is from RNAcentral.
ACGUUUUCAACGUUUUGACCCUCUCUCUUAUUUUCCGUGCACCCGGCCUCCCGACCUUUCCUCUCGGUUUAUUCCGUCUGCUGAUCGUGCCGGGCGCCUUCGGGGUUCAUAGAAAGUCUUUGAUUCUGAAAAGGAGCGCAAGCUCUGUAGUACGAAGCGCUGAUUUUUCUCCUGUUGUGCGUUGCCAAAUAACCCAAAACCCUUAAAUCUAAUUGCUCUGAACUCUUUAGUUGCUUGAUUCAUUUCAACAACGAUUAAAAACAAACAACAACUCUUAACAACGGAUAUCUUGGUUCU